This 747-nucleotide ribosomal RNA is filed under the name Klebsiella planticola. RNAcentral describes it as "Raoultella planticola 16S ribosomal RNA". The record is from RNAcentral. Lineage: Bacteria; Pseudomonadati; Pseudomonadota; Gammaproteobacteria; Enterobacterales; Enterobacteriaceae.
GCUUUCGCACCUGAGCGUCAGUCUUUGUCCAGGGGGCCGCCUUCGCCACCGGUAUUCCUCCAGAUCUCUACGCAUUUCACCGCUACACCUGGAAUUCUACCCCCCUCUACAAGACUCAAGCUUGCCAGUUUCAAAUGCAGUUCCCAGGUUGAGCCCGGGGAUUUCACAUCUGACUUAACAAACCGCCUGCGUGCGCUUUACGCCCAGUAAUUCCGAUUAACGCUUGCACCCUCCGUAUUACCGCGGCUGCUGGCACGGAGUUAGCCGGUGCUUCUUCUGCGAGUAACGUCAAUCGCNAAGGUUAUUAACCUUAACGCCUUCCUCCUCGCUGAAAGUACUUUACAACCCGAAGGCCUUCUUCAUACACGCGGCAUGGCUGCAUCAGGCUUGCGCCCAUUGUGCAAUAUUCCCCACUGCUGCCUCCCGUAGGAGUCUGGACCGUGUCUCAGUUCCAGUGUGGCUGGUCAUCCUCUCAGACCAGCUAGGGAUCGUCGCCUAGGUGAGCCAUUACCCCACCUACUAGCUAAUCCCAUCUGGGCACAUCUGAUGGCAUGAGGCCCGAAGGUCCCCCACUUUGGUCUUGCGACGUUAUGCGGUAUUAGCUACCGUUUCCAGUAGUUAUCCCCCUCCAUCANGCAGUUUCCCAGACAUUACUCACCCGUCCGCCGCUCGUCACCCGAGAGCAAGCUCUCUGUGCUACCGCUCGACUUNAUGUGUUAGGCCUGCCGCCAGCGUUCAAUCUGAGCC